RNAcentral lists this long non-coding RNA (286 nucleotides) under Zosterops lateralis melanops. RNAcentral's name for it is "lncRNA (ENSZLMG00000001877.1)". Lineage: Eukaryota; Metazoa; Chordata; Aves; Passeriformes; Zosteropidae. The record is from RNAcentral.
CCCAGGGUGGGGAGGAGUAUGGCACCCUCUGGAUCCGGGACAGCAAGAAGGAGGAUGCCGGUGUGUACACAUGCGUCGCUGAGAAUGAGCAGGGAGAGGCCAUGACCAGUGCAGUGUUGGCCAUCAUGGACAUGGAAGACUCGGAGACAGGUGAGGAUGAAUCCAGCGACCCCCAGGUGACACAACGCAGUGAUCUCCAGGAUGAGACGGCCUUCAGCACCCCUACGGGUGGGUCUGACACCCUUGUGGACGCCUCCAUGAACACAACGCCGACCUCGGUGCUGGC